This 253-nucleotide ribosomal RNA is filed under the name uncultured bacterium. RNAcentral's name for it is "partial 16S ribosomal RNA". It matches the Rfam family "Bacterial small subunit ribosomal RNA", at positions 524 to 776 of the family's 1533-position model. The record is from RNAcentral.
UACGUAGGGGGCAAGCGUUGUCCGGAUUUAUUGGGCGUAAAGAGCGUGUAGGCGGCUGGGUAGGUCCGUUGUGAAAACUCGAGGCUCAACCUCGAGACGCCGAUGGAAACCCCCCAGCUAGAGUCCGGAAGAGGAGAGUGGAAUUCCUGGUGUAGCGGUGAAAUGCGCAGAUAUCAGGAGGAACACCGGUGGCGAAGGCGGGACUCUGGGCCGAUACUGACGCUGAGGAGCGAAAGCGUGGGGAGCGAACAGG